GACGAACGCUGGCGGCGUGCUUAACACAUGCAAGUCGAACGAAGAGCGAUGGAAGCUUGGUUCUAUCAAUCUUAGUGGCGCACGGGUGAGUAACGCGUAAUCAACCUGACCUUUAGAGGGGGACAACAGUUGGAAACGACUGCUAAUACCGCAUACGAUCUAAUCUCGGCAUCGAGGAUAGAUGAAAGGUGGCCUCGACAUGUAGGCUCUCACUGAAGGUGGCGAGUGCGUCUGAUUAGCUAGUUGGAGGGGGAAGGGCCCAACAAGGCGAUGAUCAGUAGGCGGUUUGGGAGGAUGAACCGGCAAAUUGGGAACGAGACACGGCCCAGACUCCUAAGGGGGGGAGCCGUGGGGAAACUUUCGCAAUGGACGAAAGUCUGACGGAGCAACGCCGCGGGGGUGAUGACGGCCCUCGGGUUGGAAAGCUCUGUUAAUCGGGACGAAAGGCCUUCUGGCGAAUAGUGAGAAGUAUUGACGGUACCGGAAUAGAAAGCCACGGCUAACUACGUG
Molecule: ribosomal RNA, 510 nt
Filed under: uncultured bacterium
Lineage: Bacteria
Description: partial 16S ribosomal RNA
Rfam family: Bacterial small subunit ribosomal RNA
Source: RNAcentral